This is a long non-coding RNA of Oncorhynchus gorbuscha (pink salmon), 2863 nucleotides long. RefSeq lists it as uncharacterized. The record is from RefSeq and is a predicted model, not a curated record. NCBI's taxonomy places the organism in Eukaryota, Metazoa, Chordata, Actinopteri, Salmoniformes, Salmonidae. The transcript is spliced from 3 exons.
GCAUCUGGAAAGCCAGGCAUGGAAGAAAGAGCACAAUAGCACCAUUUUGGGGCAGGAUACCAGUCAACACCGUGCUGGUCCAGACGGAGAGAACAUGGACACUUUCUCACCCAGUGUGAGCAGAGAUCCUAACACGCAACAGAAGAAUGGAGGCAGUGACGAAGGCAAAGCCUCAGGAAAACAAACCAACGAGAAGAGCUCGAAAAAAUCCCAAACAUGUACCCUUCUUUAGAGACACAGCACUAUGAAUGGGACGCCCAACACCACGUUUUACUUAGUGCCAUAUAAUCCCAUGGUAUUGAGUCUUUAUGAUCACCCUAAGUUCUCUUCCUUGCCUGUUACUGUGAUGAAUCAUAGAAACAACAUAGGGAGAGGGAGAAUAUAUGUUUUGAGGGGAAUGACUGUGUAACUGCAAUCCAUGCCUAUCACUUUGCCUACCGAACAAUCGCCUUUUGUUAUUAUUGUACUGUUUGGCUCCCUUUCAUAACCUAUGUACGACUCGUGUCAACAGUACAGUAAGCAAAAUAUUUCAAAGCGUCAACUGACAAGUGUUUUUCUGAUUCUGACUACCUCGUUCUGGUAGCUUAGCUUGCUAAUGAACACACCACUAAAGAAAGAGAGAACAGCUGUGGGCUCAUGUUUAUUUCCAAACGAUUGGCAGUAAUGAUUGAUCGACAGGAUUGAUCAACUGGCUCUGAACGUUUCAGCAGCUCAUACAAUCAUAAACGACAGAGGGGGGGGAACACGAAGACAAAAUAAAAUAACCUCAGAUAGUCAUCGCAUAACCCUGACAUUUAGAAGUUUGUGAUCAAAAAGUCUCUACAGUCACAAUUGCACUAUUCACAAAGAUUUUACAGUAAUUUUCCAGCAGAGAAUUAGAACAGUGUUUUUAUAGCAGAAGAAGAAAGAGCUAUUCAAAAUCCCAAACGGAUGCUAUUGGACCUGACACCUCAUCUCCUUUACAGUUCCGCUUCACUGUGUUGUCACAGUAGACGAGAGUAAUUGUAAUGCAAUUGGCUAAUCAGUUAUAACCCUCUACAGUCCGCAACGCACUUUAAAACGGUUCAUUCACUCGAUGGCAGUCUAGUCCGGGGUCGUCAGCAGUGCAGUAUUCAGGCAGUGAUGGCCGAGCUCCUUUCCAAACUCCCAGAUAAGAGCUUUUGGAUGGGCCUACGCCCACCUUCUGUACACUGUGAAAGCUAAAUGUAUUCACGCCGCAUGAUCAUGGGAGAAACCGAAAUGCGGCGCGACCCCUGCCAAAGUAAAACUCCCGUCUCCAGCGGUCGCGAUGUAGGUUGCUCGAGAACGAGCUGCCCUUUUCACAUGUUCGAGGAGGGUGUCAGUCACUGUUACCGCUGCGCUCCUCCUCGCUACCCACCACCAUGCUGCUGUACUUCCUCUGCUGCUCCUCUCUAUACGUGUCCUUCACCUUAGCCCUCUUUAGGCCUCCGUCCCUACAGGGGAACAAACACGUGGUCUAGGAGAUACGAACACAAAAUAAUCUGUGUGCAAGAGAUACUGCAAAUGUGUCCAUUCUGAGGUGUAAGAGAUGCAUAGCAGAGGGCCAGUGUGAGACAGUUAGGAUGCCAUUCAUAGUAAGAUGGGAGGAGAUUCUUACCAGGACAGGUCCACUAGUCCCCCCUGAUGUGCGAUGACAGACUUGACUCUGUUGGCAAACUGGACAGCAUCCUCCCCUUCCUGAAAACAUGCAAUAAGUUAGUGGCACUUAGUGAUUAAUUGGUAGGUACUGUGUGUGUGUGUGUGUGUGUGUGUGUGUGUGUGUGUGUGUGUGUGUGUGUGUGUGUGUGUGUGUGUGUGUGUGUGUGUGUGUGUGUGUGUGUGUGUGUGUGUGUGUGUGUGUGUGUGUGUGUGUGGUGUUGUAUACACACCUGUUGGUGCAUGGCUGGCAGGUACCAGACGUUACAGACUAUAGCCCAACUAGUCAUCAUCCUGAGCAGGUAGCUCACCAUGUUGUACUUGGCACUGUUCCAGAACGCAUCGCCAAACUGAGGGUCAUACUGAGGGAGGGAGACAGAAAACCUCUUCAAAUCUAUGCUGACUUUGUCACGCAACUUUUCAUUUGUCACGUCAUCUUUGCAUGAUUUGGGGAAAAGUCAAAUACUGAACAGAAGUACCUUACAGAGUACCUUACCUUGAUGGCUACCGGGUAUAUCGUUCCUCCGAUUUCAAAACUUCCCUUUUUGAACAUCAUGACAGAUGUGUUGUUGAUACAGGUCCCUGAGGAAACCACAAAUAUGGACUGCAGAUAAAACAUAACCAGAACGACCAGAGAUAUAUAAAAGAUCAAAUCAAAUUUCAUUGGUCAGAUAGGAUCUCUAUGAUAACAACAACGCUCUCCAAAAUCACAGAUAAGGGAGAGAAAUGCAUUCUAGCAGAUGCUACUCAUAUGUACAGGUAUAGGAUGACCUUACUGUACAUAACCAAUGCAACACCAAUGCAGCUUAUCCAAACCAAUGCUAAACUCACUGACUUCAUUCUACUCCAUUGUAGCACUUACCUUCUGGAAAGAGCAAUAUAGGAAGCUUAGUCUUGUCAUUCACGUGAUCCCUCAACCUGUAAACAUGAACAACAAUUAGAAAACCUAACUUUAUAUCUGGGAGGAGCGUGAACAUACAUUAUAUGGUUUUAGUUAAAGCUAUGUCCAUACCAGGAAAUCUUAGUAUUAAAUUAUAUCACCAAUUGUCAAAUGGCAAUGACAUUUAUGUCAAAUGGCAAUGUCAUUGGACUGGCAUGAGGGUUUUAUCUGGAUAAGGAAAUAAGAUAGGUAAUUACUUAUGAUUGUAUUUGAUGUGUAUUAUUGCGCUAAACAGGGCUCAUCUGGAAAAUGUAUCUUGGUCUCAGC